ACGAACGCUGGCGGCGUGCCUAAUACAUGCAAGUUGAGCGCUGAAGGUUGGUACUUGUACCAACUGGAUGAGCAGCGAACGGGUGAGUAACGCGUGGGGAAUCUGCCUUUGAGCGGGGGACAACAUUUGGAAACGAAUGCUAAUACCGCAUAAAAACUUUAAACACAAGUUUUAAGUUUGAAAUAUGCAAUUGCAUCACUCAAAGAUGAUCCCGCGUUGUAUUAGCUAGUUGGUGAGGUAAAGGCUCACCAAGGCGAUGAUACAUAGCCGACCUGAGAGGGUGAUCGGCCAAAUUGGGACUGAGACACGGCCCAAACUCCUACGGGAGGCAGCAGUAGGGAAUCUUCGGCAAUGGACGAAAGUCUGACCGAGCAACGCCGCGUGAGUGAAGAAGGUUUUCGGAUCGUAAAACUCUGUUGGUAGAGAAGAACGUUGGUGAGAGUGGAAAGCUCAUCAAGUGACGGUAACUACCCAGAAAGGGACGGCUAACUACGUG
Molecule: ribosomal RNA, 496 nt
Filed under: uncultured bacterium
Lineage: Bacteria
Description: partial 16S ribosomal RNA
Rfam family: Bacterial small subunit ribosomal RNA
Source: RNAcentral